AGAAAACUUUGCAAUGUGCGAAAGCACGACAAGGUUAAUCCGAGUGGUUUCUGCUAAAGAAACCUUUUGUCAGUCCUAGAAACACUAACGAAUAAGGGGUGGGCAAGUUCUGGUGUCAGCCGCCGCGGUAAAACCAGCACCUCAAGUGGUCAGGAUGAUUAUUGGGCCUAAAGCAUCCGUAGCUCGUUUUGUAAGUUUUCGGUUAAAUCCAUGCGCUUAACGUAUGGGCUGCCGGGAAUACUGCAUAACUAGGAAGUGGGAGAGGUAGACGGUACUCGGUAGGAAGGGGUAAAAUCCUUUGAUCUAUUGAUGACCACCUGUGGCGAAGGCGGUCUACCAGAACACGUUCGACGGUGAGGGAUGAAAGCUGGGGGAGCAAACCGGAUUAGAUACCCGGGUAGUCCCAGCUGUAAACUAUGCAAACUCAGUGAUGCAUUGGCUUGUGGCCAAUGCAGUGCUGCAGGGAAGCCGUUAAGUUUGCCGCCUGGGAAGUACGUACGCAAGUAUGAAACUUAAAGGAAUUGGCGGGGGAGCACCACAAGGGGUGAAGCCUGCGGUUCAAUUGGAGUCAACACCAGAAAUCUUACCCGGAGAGACAGCAGAAUGAAGGUCAAGCUGAAGACUUUACCAGACAAGCUGAGAGGUGGUGCACGGCCGUCGCCAGCUCGUGCCGUGAGAUGUCCUGUUAAGUCAGGUAACGAGCGAGAUCCCUGCCUCUAGUUGCCACCAUUACUCUCAGGAGUAGUGGGGCGAAUUAGCGGGACCGCCGCAGUUAAUGCGGAGGAAGGAGGGGGCCACGGCAGGUCAGUAUGCCCCGAAACUCUGGGGCCACACGCGGGCUGCAAUGGUAGUGACAAUUUGGUUCCGAAUCCGAAAGGAGGAGGUAAUCCUCAAACGCUACCACAGUUAUGACUGAGGGCUGCAACUCGCCCUCACGAAUAUGGAAUCCCUAGUAACUGCGUGUCAUUAUCGCGCGGUGAAUACGUCCCUGCUCC
RNAcentral lists this ribosomal RNA (995 nucleotides) under uncultured archaeon. Its description in RNAcentral is "bacterial SSU rRNA". It matches the Rfam family "Archaeal small subunit ribosomal RNA", at positions 342 to 1336 of the family's 1478-position model. The record is from RNAcentral.